RNAcentral lists this long non-coding RNA (913 nucleotides) under Fukomys damarensis (Damara mole-rat). RNAcentral describes it as "lncRNA (ENSFDAG00000031599.1)". The record is from RNAcentral. Lineage: Eukaryota; Metazoa; Chordata; Mammalia; Rodentia; Bathyergidae.
CUAGGAGUCACGGAAGUGCUCGUGGCUCGGUGAGGAGGGAGCCUCGCUCUCAGGACUUGGGGUUUGCGGUGGGUGAAUGUGGUGUGGGAUGCGGGGCGGGUGUGUUUCAGCCCCAGCCGCGAAUGUGCCACGUGCACGGUAAGGAAAAUAAGUUAAAAAAAAGAGGACCGAGGAGAGCUGUGCCCGUGCCGCGCUCAGGAGUCCUGGAGAUUUUCCUUUCCCCAGACGCUGUAAUGUGAGGAAUCGGUAGAUUCUGUUUUGCUUUGUUUUUUCCUGUUAUCCUUGAUGAGAACCAGCCCGAUGCCCUGAGCACCUCGAAGGGGGUUUCGCGGAAGACGCGUGUUUCGAGGAGUCACGAAUGCGAAUUCCGGGUGUGCGGUUUUGGGGUAUCCGCACCCGGCGACUUCCCUUCCUGCCUGUGCGCGCGCGUCCGUGUCCCCAGCUCCCCCGAGCCCUACUGCUGUUCCCCACAGGCAUCUACCCACGGAUAAAGCCGCAGCCGCCCCGGCAGCCCGGAGACGAGGACACCCACGGCGGUGGAGGACACUGGAACAACGCGGACGAAGGGUACCAGCCGCCCCGGCCCAAGCCGCCUGCAGCAGGAGGUGCAGGAGGAGGAGGAGCCGGAGGCGGCGGCUAUAACAGCUACGGGGACACGCAAGGUACUGCUUUGCAGCAUGAGGGCGCCGGGAGGGUGUGGCGGGUGUGGAGUGGGUCCCGAGUUCCCAGCCGCCCGCUGCCCCGCACCCUGAAGCUGUCGGCCAGGGACUUGGGGGCCUCUCUGUGCCGGGGUGUGAGGGGGCAGAGAAUGUAACUGGGAGCCAACAGCCCGGGACCAAGAUGCUCGGUAGGAAGAGGCCAGCCAGCCGCCUGCCUCCCUUGGGCUGGGGAGCCCGAUAGCCCGCUGGAAAAG